This 73-nucleotide transfer RNA is filed under the name Acidimicrobiales bacterium. RNAcentral describes it as "tRNA-Gln". It matches the Rfam family "tRNA". Rfam says of the family: Transfer RNA (tRNA) molecules are approximately 80 nucleotides in length. Their secondary structure includes four short double-helical elements and three loops (D, anti-codon, and T loops). Further hydrogen bonds mediate the characteristic L-shaped molecular structure. tRNAs have two regions of fundamental functional importance: the anti-codon, which is responsible for specific mRNA codon recognition, and the 3' end, to which the tRNAs corresponding amino acid is attached (by aminoacyl-tRNA synthetases). tRNAs cope with the degeneracy of the genetic code in two manners: having more than one tRNA (with a specific anti-codon) for a particular amino acid; and 'wobble' base-pairing, i.e. permitting non-standard base-pairing at the 3rd anti-codon position. RNAcentral also lists the same sequence under 1 other name. Lineage: Bacteria; Bacillati; Actinomycetota; Acidimicrobiia; Acidimicrobiales. The record is from RNAcentral.
UCCGAGGUAGUUCAAUUGGCAGAACGCUGGCCUUUGGAGCCAGAUGUUGGAGGUUCGAGCCCUCCCCUCGGAG